Cairina moschata (Muscovy duck) is the source of this 4088-nucleotide long non-coding RNA. The record is from Ensembl. Lineage: Eukaryota; Metazoa; Chordata; Aves; Anseriformes; Anatidae.
GAAAAUUCCCCUCCUUCUGCAGUUCAUGGUGUUCUUCUAAACUAUUUAUAAAUAGGUCUACUGUAGCCAGUGUUUGCAUUUGGACUGCUUCACUGUUCUCGUUUUCAAGGCUUCUCUUAGAUCUGACAGUAAAGGUCAUGUUGACUCCCCUCAUCUGAAAUGAAGAGGGGAAGAAAAUUAACCCUGUAGUCAGGUGGCUCAAAGGCAGUAAUUCCCAUCAACGUGAGCAAGUUCUCCGUCGUGCGUGGCUGGGGCAGAGCGCCGGACCCACUCUCCCUUUUGCUCCAUUUUCGUUUCCCUGCCCUCUCCAUUAGCUGCUGACAGUUUUAGCUUCCUACGUCCAUUUAAAGAGAUUCCCCCCGCACAUCAUCUGGGAUUCAUGAACUGCAGAGAUCUGGCUAUUUUCAACUUUAAGCCACAGUUAAUCCAUGACCUUAGUGCUUUUGUCUCCAGGUCUGAAUUAUGUAAGUAUUACAGAACAAAGAUUGAAAUGAACUACUCUUGGUUUUAUUUUACCACUACAGUCACCUGAUUGGCUUUUCUAUUUCCACUAACUAGAAUAAUAGAGUGAAUUUAAUUCCUUUAUGAAAAGACCAUAAGGGUGUUUUUGUUGUUGUUGUUGCUUGUGGGUUAGUUUUGUUGUUGUUUUGUGUUUUUUUGGUCAGUGUGGUGAGGCCAAAUAAGAAAUAUUUCUACAGGGAAUGUAAAAAUGGUGGAAAAUAGUAACUGUCUGCUUUUCUGGCUGUUCAGGAUUCCUGCCAAGUGGACACAAAGACAACUGAAGCAGGAAUGUACCCCGUACUCUGCAGUGCCCACUGCAAUGUCACUGCAAGGGCAUCCUACUUCCCACAUGCUUCAGAAACACCAGAUACUUUAACUGUGCUUCUCAAAAUAUGCUCAAGAAAUGUGUGUGCACAUUGCCUAUCCUUCCCCUCCUCUGUGCACUGAAUAUUUUUGGUGUAGGAGAGUUCAGUAACGGAAGCGUAAACCUUCUGUUUACAUCUAUAAACAAGAUAAGGCAGGACUCAGAUACCUCUUUUCUUGGAGCAGCUCAGCAGAAGAACAGAAAGAUGUCAUUUCUGGCAUGGAUCACCCAGCGGCACGUCCCUGGAAGAUGGACUGGUGCUCAGGUGCUGAGGUUUCAGGUCAGACAGAACCCAUGGGGAUGCUUCUUCAUGCACCAGCCUGGCUCCAUCCAGCUCGCCAGCACCAAAAGGAGGCAUCCGACCCCCCCACGGCACAGGUACAUGCGGCCACAUCACCCCAUGCCAGCUCCUGAGCUCCUUGACCCCAACCCCAGAGCUAAAUUUGCUGAUUAUCUGGUAGAAAACUGAGCAAGGAAGUAAAGCUUUGAUAGAUUUUUUUUUUGCACCAGCUCUUGCCAAUGCCCAACCUGGUGCGAGGGGGUGGUGAGGCUGGGACCAGUGGGAUGUGGGGUGCUUGUGAAAUCCCUUACCCUGGGGGCACUCUGAUAAAACAGCAGACCAUUUCCCAACACCCCCCUGAUGGGAGGGCGAGGAAAUGAGUUAGGGCUGCAUCCCUCACCCAGGACACCGCAGGAUGAGCUCCACGUAAGCCUCUUCCCCUCCCCUCUGACUCAGCUCCCGUGCUAUGCUCGGCUUUUCACUCUUUCCUCAGGCAACUCCGCUGCUUGUCCUGCUCCUGCUGACUCUUUCGCUGACUGGCAGCAGCCUGGUGUUGCUCAACGCUCCCAGUACGUGUCUGUGCCCACCUGAGUGCAGGAUACGGCCUCCCCCUGCCCAUCACAACGGGGGCCAUCGCCCACUCUCCAUCACACCACAUCCCUCCACAUGUGAAGCCUAAAAGUUUUGGGGCACGUGUAGAAAUGGUGAGAAGGUGAUGGAACACCGUCAGGGGUUCGAUAACACGUGAUAUGCUCCCAGCAGACCAGCACGACAGCUCAGGGAGCAGAUACUGCAACGUGUUAAGUCAUUUAUUUGAUGAUGAGGCAGAGAAAGCCAAGAGGACUAGCCUAGAGGAAAGCCUCAUUGCUAUGUGGUGAUGUUUCAAAAUUCCCCUUUUUGUUCUUCCAGCAGCCCAAGAACCUUGUUGGCUUUUCAGACGUGAUCAGGACACUGCUCAGCAUGGGACGGGUGGGGAUGCCACACUUCCAUGACGAGCCAGGAGAGGCCAUGCUAGCCAGGGUUUGCACAGUAGCCCCAGCAGGCUUUGCAGAUGGAAGCUGUUUUAGGAUAAUUUGGUGUCUUUCUAUUCUGCAGAUUUCUUAACGUGUGUGUGAGCAAGCAAUUGGCUGCUGGGACAGGAAGAUGUGACCGUGCAGGCCCUUUGCAGCACUGAAAGCAAACCUGGUGCAGGUUUGUUCACAAGCUGGUGAGUGCUUGAAGAUCCACCCAUGCUUGGUUAUCCUGAAGAGCUGCUCCUGGCAGCAGGUGACACCUACCAGGAGAGACACUUCCCCAUUCCUCCGUACCCGUGGCAGACAUCUCUGCUCCCUAGAGGCUGUGACCAUCACGCAGCCGCAUAAAUAAAGGUGGAUGCAGCGAGACCCAGCACCAUCAGAGCUGACCGCACACGAGGCAACUCACGUCUGGAAGCAGUCAGGCUCUGCUGAGCCCCAGAAGGCACAUGGGUGAGUUACCUUAUCGUAAGCAGCCUAGACUUAAAUUAAACAUGGUUUAUAAGCAGAGGCAUAACGGAGGCAUAUUGGGAGGUUAUGUGCCAUUAUAGGGUGCCCUUGGGAUAUGCUCAUGUGGGUCUCCACCAAUGUGGAGAUCCUGUACUGUGCUCAGUUGUGGGGCUGCUGAGGAGCCCUCCUUGUCCAGCAGCUACAGACGGAUGGCUUUGUGGGUGAUGAUUUGCUUACAUGGGCUUCUGCAUUCAUUGUAUAGAAUAAAUAAUUUACCUCUAAUGUUUGGGAUUUGUAGGGCUUCAGCAGUUAAUUUAGAAGAGCCAGGAGGUGCUGUUUUGUCUAGAAGUGAAUUCUGAACUUAUUAUCUUAAAGUAAAUUCCCUUUCUGCAGGAAGUGCUGGUGUUGCUGCUCUUUGUCCCAGAACUGAGUGAAGUAAAAAAAAAAAAAAAAAAAAAAAAACCAAAAAACUGACAUUUUCUGUGGAAGAGCAAGUCAAGCUCUCAACCAUCUCUUUUCUUUUGCCUUGCUAUAGGCUUUAAGUUUCAUAGCAUCCUUCCCCAUCAAGGGGAAAAAAUCUACACAGGUUUGACAAAGGGCAGAAAACAAUGUUGAGUGGCACUUAGCUCUAAAGGAUGUCUUAAUUUUUUAUGGAAAUUUUCCAAAUUGUAAAACAAGACACCAACCGCCUUAGAUAAGGAAAUAAUCUCUCUUUUCCCACGGGGUGCUGAAAACUGCCCGGCGUAAAAAUAACCCUGUCCCAAGUUGCUUCAAGUGCUUCGUAUCUGCAAAACGCAGGAGACACCGAAUGCUAUAAAAAGUGCCACACGUGGGCUUCUCCGUGUCCGCUUCUUUGAGCUGUCUUAAAAAAAGAAAGAAAAAGGCCAAGUUGGGUAAGAAAAGCCCUCUUAGCUCCCGGGGGGGGGGGGGAGAUGAGGUUCUCCCUGCCCCCCGAGCCCCCCGCCCGCCCCGUCCAGGCUCGGAGCCGCGGUGCGGGCUUUUCUCGGCGAAACCCUGCGAUUCCGGCGUUCCUCGGGAAUGAAAGAAAGUGAUAUGUUGGAGAGGGGAAAGAGGGGGCGUGGGGGUGGGAGGAGGAAGGGCUGUCCUUGAUCCUCCAGGGCGGGCUCUUUUCUCCUUGCUUGAUCUAUGGAGCCCGCCCCCUUAAAUUGGCUCCCGGGAGCGCCCCGUCCACCAGCCCGACGGGGGGAGAGGAGGAAAGGAAGGGAGGGAGGGAGAAGCAGCAGGCAGGCAGGCGGCCGGUUCCCCCGGCCCGGCCCGGCGGUCCCGGCCCCAUGCGCGGCCCCAAAAGCCCCGCGCCCCGCCGGCCCGCCCGCCCCUAACGCCGCCCGGCUCCGGCAGCGCACCGGGGGGCGGCGGUGGGGGGGGGCAAGAAAAAAAAAAUAAAUAAAUAAACGAAGGGAGAGGGAAAAAAGAGGAGGAGAAGAGCCCGACCGCCGCAGGGGGAAGGCUGCGCUCCUCU